GCGCCGCGUGGCUGGACGGUGCAGCACGUGGUGCCGCCGUUUCAGCAGGACGAUGCGGUGCAAGUGGCGUUCGCGCCGCCCGGCGGCGCGC
RNAcentral lists this transfer RNA (91 nucleotides) under Janthinobacterium sp. HH104. RNAcentral describes it as "tRNA-Gly". The record is from RNAcentral. Lineage: Bacteria; Pseudomonadati; Pseudomonadota; Betaproteobacteria; Burkholderiales; Oxalobacteraceae.